Molecule: non-coding RNA, 377 nt
Organism: Caenorhabditis elegans
Lineage: Eukaryota; Metazoa; Nematoda; Chromadorea; Rhabditida; Rhabditidae
Source: Ensembl
GCUUAUUGCUAUUUGCAAAUUUUAAUAUGAUUUCUUUUUGGAUCACACUGAUAUAUUGUUGUGAAAUAAAUUAAAAGAAUUAUUCUCGAUUGAAGAUAUUCACUUCUUUGGUUCACAAAAAUACAUAGUUUUACAAUACAUAUGCCAUUUGUGCUUGAGUUUUUGAGUUUAUUUCAAGAUAUUCAACCUGGUCUACCUCAAACACUGAUUUGGUAAAAAAAACAGUAUUUUAAAUACAUUAUCAGACUUUUGUAAAAUAAUAUGCAAGAAAAUUUUUUUGUUAAAUUUUUAAAGUGAUGAAAAACAGAGUUUAAAAAUGAGUAAAUUACAUUUACAACACUAAAACAAGAUAAAUAUUGGAUGAAAAAUCAAAAAAA